This 465-nucleotide ribosomal RNA is filed under the name uncultured bacterium. RNAcentral describes it as "partial 16S ribosomal RNA". It matches the Rfam family "Bacterial small subunit ribosomal RNA", at positions 338 to 795 of the family's 1533-position model. The record is from RNAcentral.
CCUACGGGAGGCAGCAGUGGGGAAUAUUCCGCAAUGGGCGAAAGCCUGACGCAGCGACGCCGCGUGCGGGAUGAAGGUCUUCGGAUCGUAAACCUCUGUCAGCAGGGAAGAACGGUCGCUGUGCUAAUCAGCAGUGAAUUGACGGUACCUGCAAAGGAAGCAACGGCUAACUCCGUGCCAGCAGCCGCGGUAAUACGGAGGGUGCGAGCGUUAAUCGGAAUUACUGGGCGUAAAGCGCUCGUAGGCGGUAUGUCAAGUCAAGGGUGAAAUCCCCGCGCUCAACGUCGGAACUGCCUUGGAAACUGGCAAACUGGAGUGUGAGAGAGGAUAGCGGAAUUCCAGGUGUAGGAGUGAAAUGCGUAGAUAUAUGGAGGAACAUCAGUGGCGAAGGCGACUAUCUGGCACAUAACUGACGCUGAGGAGCGAAAGCGUGGGUAGCAAACAGGAUUAGAUACCCCUGUAGUC